ACGGGGAGCAGCAGGCGCGAAACCUUUACACUGCACGCCAGUGCGAUAAGGGAAUCCCAAGUGCGCAGGCAUAGAGCCUGCGCUUUUGUACACCGUAGGGAGGUGUACGAAUAAGGGCUGGGCAAGACCGGUGCCAGCCGCCGCGGUAAUACCGGCAGCCCGGGUGAUGGCCGAUCUUAUUGGGCCUAAAGCGUCCGUAGCUGGCCGCACAAGUCCAUCGGAAAAUCCACCCGCCCAACGGGUGGGCGUCUGGUGGAAACUGUGUGGCUUGGGACCGGAAGGCGCGACGGGUACGUCCGGGGUAGGAGUGAAAUCCCGUAAUCCUGGACGGACCGCCGAUGGCGAAAGCACGUCGCGAGGACGGAUCCGACAGUGAGGGACGAAAGCCAGGGUCUCGAACCGGAUUAGAUACCCGGGUAGUCCUGGCCGUAAACAAUGCCUGCUAGGUGUGGCUCCCGCUACGAGCGGGUGCUGUGCCGUAGGGAAGCCGCUAAGCAGGCCGCCUGGGAAGUACGUCCGCAAGGAUGAAACUUAAAGGAAUUGGCGGGGGAGCAC
Molecule: ribosomal RNA, 555 nt
Filed under: uncultured archaeon
Lineage: Archaea
Description: bacterial SSU rRNA
Rfam family: Archaeal small subunit ribosomal RNA
Source: RNAcentral